Molecule: ribosomal RNA, 480 nt
Filed under: Triticum aestivum (bread wheat)
Lineage: Eukaryota; Viridiplantae; Streptophyta; Magnoliopsida; Poales; Poaceae
Description: partial small subunit ribosomal RNA
Source: RNAcentral
AUGACCGCGUUGGCGCAGGGUGAUGGUUGGUUUGGUGGCUGGAUCCGGAGCGCCAAAGGUGCGGGUUGGGAUCGAGGGAAACCCCUGUCGGCGGGGCCGACACAGACGCGGUGGCGCCUGUGGGUGCCACCUGACCUUCCGGGAGGGCGUCAUGGGCUACCCUUCCUCUCGCCUCGUCGUGUACCGUGGGAAACCCUUGGCAGCAGCGUCAUCAUCAUCGCGAUCCUUCUUGGAGGUGUUGAUAGGUGCCGCCGCUUCGGAGUCUUGGAGUCUAGUGGAAGAUCCCGGUGGGCGCUGCGAUCGCGAGGCUUCUUCGUUUUUGUUGAUCCGCCAUUGUCGGCAUUUGUUUUCUUUUGUUCUUUCUCUAUCGUUUUUUUUGGCGUGACUGUGCUGCUUCCGCCCCAGCACAUAUUCAUGUAUGGUUUGGUUGGUUGCUUUGUAUACAAAGCGGGGAAACCCUUUUUCGGUAUUCCAGAGUAG